AUCCUAACAUAACUAAAAUGAAAGUCUAAUUAUCUCGAGAUCGGAUUGGGGGAGAGGCCUUACAACGCCCUAAUGUGCCCCCACAGCCAUGUCAGGAACAGGAAGAGAAUCUCGUCCUGACAUGAGCAAAGUCAAAGGCCUGGUUCUUUUAGACCGGAUGGGGGGAGAGGCCUUACAACGCCCUAAUGCACCCCCACAGCCAUGUCAGGAACAGGAGGAGAACCUCGUCCUGACAUGAGCAAAGUCAAAGGCCCGGUUCUUUUAGACCGGAUGGGGGGAGAGGUCUUACAACGCCCUAAUGUGCCCCCACAGCCAUGUCAGGAACAGGAGGAGGACUUCGUCCUGACAUGAGCAAAGUCAAAGGCCCGAUUCUUUUAGAUCGGAUGGGGGGAGAGGCCUUACAACAUCCUAAUGUGCCCCCACAGCCAUGUCAGGAACAGAAGGAGAACCUCGUCCUGACAUGAGCAAAGUCGAAGGCCCGAUUCUUUUAGAUCGGAUGGGGGGAG
This 506-nucleotide long non-coding RNA is filed under the name Elaeis guineensis (African oil palm). RNAcentral describes it as "long non-coding RNA (EGUI_LNC074424)". The record is from RNAcentral. Lineage: Eukaryota; Viridiplantae; Streptophyta; Magnoliopsida; Arecales; Arecaceae.